GUUGAACCAGUAAACCGGUGCAAAGUUCUAAACCGUAAAAUAUUAUUGACGGCUUGAAAAUAUCUAACUUUGCAACUGCAGAUUCGCCAAGUUCGACCGACACACGUACAUAAUCAAUCACAAUGCCUAACAGUGCUUGGCCAGCUCAGCCCAUGAAGGUCUUGGGACCUCAGAUUAGACAUUGGGGACCAUUCAUGGUACCUUGUAUGUUGAUUACCGGUUAUGUUAUGGCUAAGGCUUCACUAGCAGGAUACAGAGCAAAGAAAGCAGCAGCAGCGGCAGGUGGUGGAUCAGGUCAUCAUUAAACAAUGAUUGGUCAGGAUAACAACUCUCCUUCAAUCUACAAAUACCAAACAUGAAUCGAGCUGUAUUCUACUUUGACACACCACCGGAAAAGUUCCUUUUUGCAACAAUAUCAGAAUGGCGUUGCAUCAUCUGCCCACUGCGAUAUCAUCAAGAACUCCAGAUGCUUGGAUACAUUAUGGAAACAUUUCUGCUAGUACCUUUUUUCCUCGAUGUUGAACUGUUUUCCUGACCCAUCAUAACUUUAGUAAAUUAAGCCAUUUUUGUAAUUAGAAAAUGUAUUGUAAAAAUAACAUUUCUUCAUUGCUGUGGAAGUUGUAUGUGCAAAUCUUGCAUUAAAUAUAUGAAUCAUAAA
Molecule: long non-coding RNA, 658 nt
Organism: Lytechinus variegatus (green sea urchin)
Lineage: Eukaryota; Metazoa; Echinodermata; Echinoidea; Temnopleuroida; Toxopneustidae
Exons: 4
Source: RefSeq, a predicted model, not a curated record